CCCGAUUCGACUGGGUGGGGGAACUGUCCUUGUGCCCUUUGGCGGUGUACUUGACCCUGGUUGGUCCUGUGGGUCGCACUGGAUGGGAGUGUCUGCUAGAUGACUGAAUGUAAUGUAAAUGUUCGGGUUAGCAGGUUAAUGAAUAAAUGUGGGUAUUGCUUCAAUAGGGUUAGCAGGUUAAUAGAUUAAUGUGGGUAUUUCUUCAAUAGGGUUAGCAGGUUAAUAGAUUCAUGUGGGUAUUGCUUCAAUAGGGUUAGCAGGUUAAUAGAUUAAUGUGGGUAUUGCUUCAAUAGGGUUAGCAGGUUAAUAGAUUAAUGUGGGUAUUGCUUCAAUAGGGUAAGCAGGUUAAUGAAUAAAUGUGGGUAUUGCUUCAAUAGGGUUAGCAGGUUAAUAGAUGUGGGUAUUGCUUCAAUAGGGUUAGCAGGUUAAUAGAUUAAUGUGGGUAUUGCUUCAAUAGGGUUAGCAGGU
RNAcentral lists this long non-coding RNA (468 nucleotides) under Salmo salar (Atlantic salmon). Its description in RNAcentral is "lncRNA (ENSSSAG00000113015.1)". Lineage: Eukaryota; Metazoa; Chordata; Actinopteri; Salmoniformes; Salmonidae. The record is from RNAcentral.